Molecule: ribosomal RNA, 460 nt
Filed under: uncultured bacterium
Lineage: Bacteria
Description: partial 16S ribosomal RNA
Rfam family: Bacterial small subunit ribosomal RNA
Source: RNAcentral
CCUACGGGUGGCAGCAGUGAGGAAUAUUGGUCAAUGGCCGGAAGGCUGAACCAGCCAUGCCGCGUGAAGGUCAGUGCCCUAUGGGCGUUAAACUUCUUUUGUGCGGGAGCAAUAAUGGUCACGUGUGGCCAGACGAGAGUACCGUACGAAUAAGCAUCGGCUAACUCCGUGCCAGCAGCCGCGGUAAUACGGGGGAUGCAAGCGUUAUCCGGAUUUAUUGGGUUUAAAGGGUGCGUAGGCUGUGAGGUAAGUCAGCGGUGAAAUGCCCCCGCUCAACGGGGUGAAGUGCCAUUGAUACUGCCUUGCUGGAAUGCGGAUGCCGUGGGAGGAAUGUGUGGUGUAGCGGUGAAAUGCGUAGAUAUAUGGAAGAACACCAGUGGCGAAAGCGGCUCUCUGGUCUGUAACUGACGCUGAGGUUCGAAAGCGUGGGUAGCAAACAGGAUUAGAUACCCGAGUAGUC